CAGGCUUUCAAAUAGUCAGUGAGCUGCUUGGAAAAAUGUGCCAGUACGCAGUGCUGCCAGCGCCUAUUAGAUACCAUUUCUUGUACUGAAUGGGAAGAGGAGGUAACAAAUGUGGACAGAAUAAAGCCAGUUUGUUUUCAGUUCCCAGAAAUGGACAUUUAGAGGAGCAGCACUGAAUGGUUUUGCUUUAACCAGCAGCUGGAAAAUACUCUCCACCCUUCCUAUAAAUUAGAUGCCUCACUUUACAAUAACUUGCAGAAGCUUUUUAAUGCCCAGCUCAGUUUUUGUUUUGUUUUAUAGUUCCAUUUCACUAAAUGAACAAUUGUUUGUGCACUGCAUUCCUGUAAAUUCCAGACUGGGAUUGGGUUGAUUUUAAUUUCUUAUUUUUUAACUCACUGAAUUCCAUUAGUGAGUUUCCUGGCAGUAAGUGGAACUUCUCUGACGAUGAUAUAACAGUGAGACUUGGGAAAUUUCACACCUACCCCACACUUCAUGACUCUACAUGGAGAUAAAGUCUGACAUAUGUAGUUUCUUUUCCUUCUGUCUUACCCCUGACCAUUUCCUUGCUAUAUGCCCAGCUCAGUAGGUAGUACUGGGCUUUGUAGCAUGGAAGAAAGACUUGUAACCCUUAGGCCAGCUGCUUAAUUUGGUCAGUGGAGGGAUUCAAGACCCCAGAGAACAACUUUUAAAUAGUGGCAAGGUGUGGUAUUACACAGUACUCAUAAUUUCAAACUUGGUCUCCAGGCUGCAUCCCAAAAUGCUAUCUUUCAUGUAGGACUAAUGUGUUUGUCAAUUGUUGAGCUUGGGGGAUCUUGCAAGUUGAAAUUCAUGGCUAUGUCAUGUAGAUUUUAGUUUACUAAAGGCACAGGAUUUUGCAUCACCACCUCACUGGCCUCUGCAGUUUGACAGAAAAACUUACAAAGUCUAGCACCAUUGCUGUGUGUGUUUUCCACUGGAUACUAAAAGUAGCAAAAAAUAUAUUUGUAAAUUAUGUGAUGCUGGAUUAAAAUGAUAAUGUCAUAUGACAAAACUUAGUACAUCUUUACUAAAUGUAGCUAUCUUGGUUUAUUAUACAAAUUUGUGAUGGAGUGAAGUUAAGAGGAACACCAGAACUUGAAUAAACCCUGAAAAAUUGAAGCAAACGCUAACAAAUAUAUCAGCAGUAAUUUAAAUAUAAACAUACAACAAAGUCAUAUGGAAAUUAAUUAUUAAAUGUCUCACCAGUGAAUUCUGCCGCCAUCUGUUUCCUGUGAUACACCACGAGAUUUCCAGCAGGUAAAAUUAUUUUGAUUCAGUCAUUUCAUUUAUCAUUCACUUUCAUCUGAAUUGUAUACCAGGAGGCUGCAACUUUUGAAACUGUUUCAAGUCUGGUAGACAUGAUUGACUGGUCCAUCCUGAAAUGAAGCUUAAUCACUUGUCUAAUAGUUCACUAGAAUUAUUAUCAUGCCUAUAGGACAGGAUCUUACUGAUGAACAGUCAGAGCUAGAGAUCAUAGUCUUCUGCACUGUCUGUCUUAGGAAACUUACUUUGUUUUCAAGUUCCCCAUAAAGUGGGAAACAUGAGAACUAAGAACUCCUGAGAAGGAAAAAAAAAACCCCAAAAAACUCUUUUGCCAAUCAUCAUCUGGGAAGCCACUGUCUCUUAAAACCCACAUUAAUAUGACAUUCUUGGGGACCUUCCAAAAGUCAAUAGAAGGCCUCUGUACAUCCUUUAAUAUUUACAGAUAAAACUUUUUUUGCCAAUAUUUCUUCUUUUUUCAAUAAAUGUAGACACAUUCUAAAUCACAAAAUCAGUUGAGAGCUUCAGUGACAUCUGAUUCUGAAAACUAGAUCAGCUGUACCCCCAUAGUGAAAUGAGUGGUCUUAAACAUGAAUGAGUUGUUAGUGACUGGAUUCCUAAAAUGAGAUUAAUCUCUGUAAACAUAUUGGUCUAAAAUUCUGUCAUGGAGUAUGUCUUAAUUAGAAAAUGAUGGUAACAAUAGGAAUGAAUCUCUAGAACCAAAACAAGUAAUUCUGAGUGAAGAUCUGCACUAUGCAAAUUUUGAGGGGUUAUUCCUGAUUUACUGUAAUCUCGUUGUCAAAUAAUGAUCAAAGAAGUAUUCAGUUGUGAUCUUGGAAUGCAUCUUCUGCUUUACUUUCUUCUCAAGGAAUUCAGUUCACAGGCUGCAAGAUGACUCUGAGAUGCAGAUGAAGGCGUUGUCCUCACUUACGAUCAGGAGAUCUGUUUUAGAAACACACUCCUGACCAAAAACAGUUACAUGCCCUUACUCUUAGUUAUCUGAGGCUUCCUUAAUAAUCAGUGAAGGUAAACUGGCAACUCCAGAACGUGAUUUAUUGGCACUUAGACACUCUCUCAGGACUGAUGUCUUGAAAUGUUUAUUUGUUUAUUGAUAUAAAAGGAAUCUACAAUGAGUAGCUCAGAUGAUGUCUAACAGCUACAAUUGUAGCUUUGGGCUAGGAUCCAGACUUAUGGUAUCAGUCUGUUUAACAUAUCUUAUUUAGUUGCCCCCCCAAAAGAUCACCUUAACAGUUAAAAUAAACCUAUUAUUCUCAAAUUGAUCAUCGUUUUCUUUGAUCAAUCUCAGCUGUCAAGAGUUUGAGGGUUUUAGCCAAAGCCAUCUCCUAAUGGAUCCAUUCAAAAGCUGGUGUUUAAAGAAAUCAUUGUUGAGUGUUCUGAAACACAUUUAUAAUAUUCAGUAUAUAGACUAAGGAGUUUAGCUUAGAAUUUUUUUAGCCUAUGGGUUCAUAUAUCUGAAAUGAAUUUUGUAUACAAGAAAGUAUAUUUUUAUGGAGUUGUUGCUACUUCAUUUUCUUAAUCUUCAUAUUUCUCAUGUAAGGUUUAGUUUGUUUUUCUCCAGGAUUUCUCUUUUAAGUUCAUAAAUUGUUCUGGGGAUUAAAUAACUAAAAAGCUAGUUGUGUAGGGAUUUUGUUAUGAGCAAUUUCCUGGAUGAAAGAUGAAUUUAUUUUGUGUAAUAUUUACCAUCUACAAGUUAGCAGUUAUAGAAGCAGUUUUCUAUGCUGCUUCUCUAGGCAAUGAAG
This is a long non-coding RNA of Falco peregrinus (peregrine falcon), 3038 nucleotides long. RefSeq lists it as uncharacterized. The transcript is spliced from 3 exons. The record is from RefSeq and is a predicted model, not a curated record. NCBI's taxonomy places the organism in Eukaryota, Metazoa, Chordata, Aves, Falconiformes, Falconidae.